Molecule: unclassified non-coding RNA, 438 nt
Filed under: Amphibalanus amphitrite
Lineage: Eukaryota; Metazoa; Arthropoda; Thecostraca; Balanomorpha; Balanidae
Description: uncharacterized LOC122368260, transcript variant X1
Source: RNAcentral
GGCCAAAGUGGCGCACAACCUGUUAUGCAAUGCAGCAUGCAUCUGCCAUUUUGUAUUUAUAUACACUGUGCCAUUUUGCACCCAUUUUGAAGUGAAGUUACUUCGAUUACUUCGGAGGGUGUGGACGUGGAGUUGGUGUCAGUGUGGAGGUUAUGUUGAUGUUGCAGGUUGGCGUCAGUCUCCACUAUCCAAUCACAGAUGGAUACCAAACGAGGGCGCAUAGCUGGAUCAUAUGGGAAGAGGAUGCUGCUUGCUGCUCUCCACUCCCGUGGCAGACAUAAAGGCGCGCAGCGUCACUCACGUAAAAAUGGACGAGAGGACUUCGACGAGCCAGGCUCUGAAAAUGAGGGCGGUCCGGCUGAUGAUCGCCAAGAGGACGAUGAAGGAGGCCAUGAACAGCGGAAGAAGGACCGCAAAAAAAGUAAGUGAAAGGUUUGG